AUUGAACGCUGGCGGCAUGCCUUACACAUGCAAGUCGAACGGCAGCACGGGAGCAAUCCUGGUGGCGAGUGGCGAACGGGUGAGUAAUAUAUCGGAACGUGCCCAGUCGUGGGGAUAACGUAGCGAAAGCUACGCUAAUACCGCAUACGAUCUAUGGAUGAAAGCGGGGGAUCGCAAGACCUCGCGCGAUUGGAGCGGCCGAUAUCAGAUUAGGUAGUUGGUGAGGUAAAGGCUCACCAAGCCAACGAUCUGUAGCUGGUCUGAGAGGACGACCAGCCACACUGGAACUGAGACACGGUCCAGACUCCUACGGGAGGCAGCAGUGGGGAAUUUUGGACAAUGGACGCAAGUCUGAUCCAGCCAUUCCGCGUGCAGGAUGAGGCCCUCGGGUUGUAACUGCUUUUGUACGGAACGAAACGGUGAGCUCUAAUACAGUUUG
RNAcentral lists this ribosomal RNA (439 nucleotides) under uncultured bacterium. RNAcentral describes it as "bacterial SSU rRNA". It matches the Rfam family "Bacterial small subunit ribosomal RNA", at positions 30 to 471 of the family's 1533-position model. The record is from RNAcentral.